Molecule: long non-coding RNA, 2362 nt
Filed under: Danio rerio (zebrafish)
Lineage: Eukaryota; Metazoa; Chordata; Actinopteri; Cypriniformes; Danionidae
Description: lncRNA si:dkeyp-91h6.2 (ENSDARG00000097608.2)
Source: RNAcentral
AUACAUACAUACAUACAUACAUACCCAGCCGGCACACGACCGACCUUCAACGUUGAAAUAUGGUUGAAAUAAGGUCAGAUGUGUUUUAAACGUUGAAAUAAUGUUGAUAGAACGUUUAAUGUUGAACGGUUGAAAAACAGCCUGCAUAUGACAAGGCUUCAACGUUGGAAUGUGGUUGAAAAUACGUAAGUAGUUGCUUUAAUGUUGAAACAAUGUUGAAUGAUAAAUGGUUGAAAAAAGUUACAGAAAUCCUUGUACAAAUCAACGUUGACAUUUUUUUUAUCAUGAUCUGUAUGUUGAAUUAACGUCAUGGCUUCACCCAAUAUUCAACAUGUUUGGUUACCAUGGUAUCGGAAGACUCGGCGCACGCGGCCGCGCGCAGCGCUUCACUUCACUUAAUUACGAACACCUGACCUGCAGUGCAGCAGAAUUCAGAGACAUGUAACUUACUCCAGAGACGCACUAACUUGCACAGCAUUGAAUGGAAAAGGCUUUGUCCAUAUCCAGUUGAGGGGCAUCAAGAACACGCAGAUGGCCUAAACCUGUGUCAGCCUGGACAGACUGCAGUUCUGCUACUCCACGCCAAGGCUUUUGUAUGGAUGUCUGACUACUACUGUGUUCUCUAAAGGUUUUCUGGAAGCUCCAUUUGAGGUCAUCAAGGACAUACUGAUGGCCUAAACCAGUGUCAGCCUAGACAGACAGACAGACAUCUAUUGCAGUUCUGCUACACAAGACCAAACUCUCUGCUUUUGUAUGGAUGUCUGACUAGUACGGUGUUCUCUAAAGGUAUAACUGGAGCAAAACAACAGCAUCUGUUACAGUGAAAUUUGUGUUCAUAAAAGAUAUGUGUAACAGGUCCAGUACAUUUGUCAUAAAGUUUAAAUCACAGUAAGUACUGUAAAAAUAACUUGUUUGCCUUUGCCACAACAGGUCAUAUAUACGCUAACACAUUUGUAUUUACUGUUUUGUUUUGCCUCACUAAAGUGUUGUUGCAGCUUGGUAUGUUCACAGUUGAAAUCACUGAAGUCACAUGGAACGUUUUGACAAUGUGUUUUGUGCCUUAUCUUGACAAUGACCAUCUUGGGACUAUUGCUGUCUGUAGAGGAUGAGGAGCAUUUAAUCUAAAAUAUUUUAGUUUGUGUUCUGAAGAUUAACAGGUCUCUGGGAUGACACAAGUACUUAAUAACAGAACCUAUAUGAACAGUUAAUGUGACAUGUAAUAGUGAAAUAGUGGUCCUACAUUCACAAAUGUGAGCCAUUAUUAUAAGACCCAUGUGAACAUGCAAUUUUUAUGAUACUAAUAAUAAUAGAAUAACAAAUUGCUUUUACUGUUGUGUUUGUGAGAGAGAAUCAAACUAUAUAUUCUACACAUUUUCUUGAUGAUUUACUGAAAUAUUUGUCUACAUGUUCCACUGUCACAGGUGCUCAGUUUUGCUGCAGUAAUGCUAAACACAAUAGAUGUACUUUAUGCAAAAAAAAAAAAAAAAACUACUAAAUAUUUAGCAUGCAGACCUGCAAAGUGAAGGAGUAAUGUCAGGUUUAGAUUAUAGCAUGAGUUUUCACUAUUGUGAAAGUGAAGCCAUUCAUUCACAAUGAAUUGGAAUAGCAAACCUCGUUAUUGAUUUUGUAGGAAACUCACCUGGUGUUUGAGAAAUAAAUAUUUAUUUAACUGCUAGACUGAUAUAGAUGUUUAAGUGUUUUACACUUGAUUCUUUGUCCCAGUGCCAUCUUUUACCUCAAGUUUUUCUCCCAACCUAUAAAACCUCAAACAGAUGUAAUGUAUUUCACUUGUGAUUCUUAGUUGUGAGUGAUGUUUUUUAUUUUAUUUUUUUUACUGCAGCCACUUUAAAAAUGGGUAUUUUGUAAACUUUGUAAACGGAAUUGUAUUUUGGAGACUGUGAUGGUUGAAGCGUAGUUUAGUUACUUAGUAUCUUUCUUUCUGAAGACAGUAACACUUUACAAUAAGGUUGUAUUAAUAAGUGUUAAUGUAUUUGCUAACAUGAACAAAGAACAAUAAAGCAUCUUUCAUAUAAAGAAAGUACAGUUCAUGUCAGCUCAGUGCAUUAAUGUUAACAAGCAUGCAUUUUGAUUUUAAUAGCAUCGGGACAUAUUUCAAUUAAUUAAAUGAUUAAUAAAUGCUGUACAAGUAUUUGUUCUUUGUUCAUGUUAGUAAACAUUAACUAACUUUAAUUCAUGAAACUUAAUUAAAAAGUGACUAUUUAAUUGUAUGCCUUUUUCUGUAUUUGAGCAUGUAUAGUAACCUGCAUGGUUUUAAUGAACUAUGUAUGCUGUAAAUGUUGCUGUAUAUUUAGAAUAAUUGAAAUAAUGAGGUGUGUAUUAAAUAAAUUGAUACACAAACUAA